This 492-nucleotide ribosomal RNA is filed under the name uncultured bacterium. RNAcentral's name for it is "partial 16S ribosomal RNA". It matches the Rfam family "Bacterial small subunit ribosomal RNA", at positions 29 to 507 of the family's 1533-position model. The record is from RNAcentral.
AGUGAACGCUGGCGGUAGGCCUAACACAUGCAAGUCGAACGGCAGCACAGUAAGAGCUUGCUCUUACGGGUGGCGAGUGGCGGACGGGUGAGGAAUACAUCGGAAUCUACUUUUUCGUGGGGGAUAACGUAGGGAAACUUACGCUAAUACCGCAUACGACCUACGGGUGAAAGCAGGGGAUCUUCGGACCUUGCGCGAUUGAAUGAGCCGAUGUCGGAUUAGCUAGUUGGCGGGGUAAAGGCCCACCAAGGCGACGAUCCGUAGCUGGUCUGAGAGGAUGAUCAGCCACACUGGAACUGAGACACGGUACAGACUCCUAAGGGAGGCAGCAGUGGGGAAUAUUGGACAAUGGGCGCAAGACUGAUCCAGACAUACCGCGGGGGUGAAGAAGGCCUUAGGGUUGUAAAGCCCUUUUGUUGGGAAAGAAAAGCAGAAGGUUAAUACCCCGCUGUUCUGACGGUACCCAAAGAAUAAGCACCGGCUAACUUCGUG